RNAcentral lists this ribosomal RNA (253 nucleotides) under uncultured bacterium. Its description in RNAcentral is "partial 16S ribosomal RNA". It matches the Rfam family "Bacterial small subunit ribosomal RNA", at positions 524 to 776 of the family's 1533-position model. The record is from RNAcentral.
UACGAAGGGGGCUAGCGUUGCUCGGAAUCACUGGGCGUAAAGGGUGCGUAGGCGGGUCUUUAAGUCAGGGGUGAAAUCCUGGAGCUCAACUCCAGAACUGCCUUUGAUACUGAAGAUCUUGAGUUCGGGAGAGGUGAGUGGAACUGCGAGUGUAGAGGUGAAAUUCGUAGAUAUCGGGAGGAACACCAGUGGCGAAGGCGACUACCUGGCCUGUUCUUGACGCUGAGGCGCGAAAGCUAGGGGAGCAAACGGG